UGGUGGAGUGAUUUGUCUGCUUAAUUGCGAUAACGAACGAGACCUUAACCUGCUAAAUAGCCAGGCCCGCUUUGGCGGGUCGCCGGCUUCUUAGAGGGACUAUCGGCUCAAGCCGAUGGAAGUUUGAGGCAAUAACA
This 137-nucleotide ribosomal RNA is filed under the name uncultured eukaryote. RNAcentral's name for it is "partial 18S ribosomal RNA". It matches the Rfam family "Eukaryotic small subunit ribosomal RNA", at positions 1299 to 1458 of the family's 1831-position model. The record is from RNAcentral.